Long non-coding RNA from Vespula pensylvanica (western yellowjacket), 980 nucleotides. RefSeq lists it as uncharacterized. The record is from RefSeq and is a predicted model, not a curated record. The transcript is spliced from 4 exons. Lineage: Eukaryota; Metazoa; Arthropoda; Insecta; Hymenoptera; Vespidae.
CACGUGGGAAGCCAUUGCACAGAUGAUGCACUAUGCCAGCGCGGUGGUCAACGUAGUUUUCUUGCUGCCGCUGAAUCCGCCAUUCUGAGUUAUUUCGUCCUCUCGUUAAUUGCAGAAUGGAAGAGGUACGACGUCCGGAGUUUAGUCAUCGGUUUUACUUAUCUAAGAUAUGAAUAAGAAAUGGUAUUCGAGACACAACGAUGACUGGACGUAUGCGUAGUGAUUUCGUUCGUUAACGUUAACAGUACAGUGUGACAUAUGUACUUAGGAAUAUGAAAGAUGGAUUUGGUUACAGUUAAACAGAAUUGACAUCUUCUCUUUAAGUGACGUACGCGCCUAUGUGACAGUCUAUUAAGUUAUGAAUGCCUUGCAACUUGAGUUUCAUUACUAGCAUUUAUCAAUCUGAGUGAAGUUAUAUCCAGUGCCAAUUUGAUUAUCAAUGUAAAUCAAAUUACGAGAAAUACUUAAGAAAUAUGAUACUUACACGAUGCAAGCGUUGUUGGAAUCACUCGUUGUCUAGAUAAAACACGUCUAGAUAGCUGCUUAGAGGAACGAAUACUGCGUAUUAACAACGUGUUAGUAAGGGCAACGAAUGGGGGAAAGUCGAUCUCUCCGAUCGUCCUUUGAUUAUUUACAAAUAUUUUUCCCUACAAGCUUCUCAAAUUCUUCGAAUUGUACGACGUAUAUAUACACAAUAUAUUCACACGUAGUAAUAACAAUACAUCAUUCUCGACUGGUUUUUCUUUCGUUGCUUGCUGGAAACAAUAAGCUAUUGUCUAUAUACUGAUGUUAUCUUUCUCUUUCUAUUAAGAUUGUAUGUAUUUAAAAAGAGACAAAUUUACGUGUGCGUAAGCAACGAGACUUUGCUAUAAGGAUAAUUUAAAUGUUUUAAAAUUAACCUUAUCCUUUAUUUUUAUGCAUGAAUUAUCGUCGGGAAAACAUCAUUUUUUGACACAAUUUUUUCAAACAAAACGAAGCGC